GACGAACGCUGGCGGCGUGCUUAACACAUGCAAGUCGAACGGAAAGGCCCUGCUUUUGUGGGGUGCUCGAGUGGCGAACGGGUGAGUAACACGUGAGUAACCUGCCCUUGACUUUGGGAUAACUUCAGGAAACUGGGGCUAAUACCGGAUAGGAGCUCCUGCUGCAUGGUGGGGGUUGGACAGUUUCGGCGGUUGGGGAUGGACUCGCGGCUUAUCAGCUUGUUGGUGGGGUAGUGGCUUACCAAGGCUUUGACGGGUAGCCGGCCUGAGAGGGUGACCGGCCACAUUGGGACUGAGAUACGGCCCAGACUCCUACGGGAGGCAGCAGUGGGGAAUAUUGCACAAUGGGCGGAAGCCUGAUGCAGCAACGCCGCGUGCGGGAUGACGGCCUUCGGGUUGUAAACCGCUUUCGCCUGUGACGAAGCGUGAGUGACGGUAAUGGGUAAAGAAGCACCGGCUAACUACGU
Molecule: ribosomal RNA, 467 nt
Filed under: uncultured bacterium
Lineage: Bacteria
Description: partial 16S ribosomal RNA
Rfam family: Bacterial small subunit ribosomal RNA
Source: RNAcentral